GCCCGGAUGGCGGAACUGGUAGACGCACGGGACUUAAAAUCCCGCGGGGAAACCCAUGUCGGUUCGAUCCCGACUCCGGGCACCA
This 85-nucleotide transfer RNA is filed under the name Deltaproteobacteria bacterium. RNAcentral's name for it is "tRNA-Leu". It matches the Rfam family "tRNA". From Rfam's summary of the family: Transfer RNA (tRNA) molecules are approximately 80 nucleotides in length. Lineage: Bacteria; Pseudomonadati; Myxococcota; Myxococcia. The record is from RNAcentral.